GCCGAAGUAGCUCAGCUGGCCAGAGCGUUUGAUUCGUAAUCAGAAGGUCGGGGGUUCGACUCCCCCCUUCGGCU
This 74-nucleotide transfer RNA is filed under the name Chitinophagales bacterium. RNAcentral describes it as "tRNA-Thr". It matches the Rfam family "tRNA". Rfam says of the family: Transfer RNA (tRNA) molecules are approximately 80 nucleotides in length. Their secondary structure includes four short double-helical elements and three loops (D, anti-codon, and T loops). Further hydrogen bonds mediate the characteristic L-shaped molecular structure. tRNAs have two regions of fundamental functional importance: the anti-codon, which is responsible for specific mRNA codon recognition, and the 3' end, to which the tRNAs corresponding amino acid is attached (by aminoacyl-tRNA synthetases). tRNAs cope with the degeneracy of the genetic code in two manners: having more than one tRNA (with a specific anti-codon) for a particular amino acid; and 'wobble' base-pairing, i.e. permitting non-standard base-pairing at the 3rd anti-codon position. Lineage: Bacteria; Pseudomonadati; Bacteroidota; Chitinophagia; Chitinophagales. The record is from RNAcentral.